Molecule: non-coding RNA, 724 nt
Organism: Phalacrocorax carbo (great cormorant)
Lineage: Eukaryota; Metazoa; Chordata; Aves; Suliformes; Phalacrocoracidae
Source: RefSeq, a predicted model, not a curated record
GAUGGGAUUUCUUUACACCCACUGGCUCCAGGAGCACUAGUUCAUUCUGAGCUCGCUGGAUUCUUGCCGUAAAUCCUAUACCGUUUAGAGGAGGCUACGGGUGAGGAGCAGGGCUCUGCGGAAGGCGGCGCUCGGCGGUACCAGAAGGAAAAGGGGUUUGACCUUGCGCUCCGCUCGGCACCGGCCCGGCGAUGCGGGACCGGGCGGGAUGCUGAGGGGCGCGGGUCAGCCGGAACCGGCGGCGGCUCGGACACAAUUCAGCCGGCAGCUGAACAGCUGGUCUGGAACUUAAAGAAGAAAAAAAAUCAUAUUUCUCUAAGGCUUAUUAAUUGAUUUCCCACAGUGACUGUAUUUAAAGUGCAGGUCAGAGCAGGGACCCUGCACUGGCACAGUGUUCCCUUGUGUCCCGGGGAGGAGGAGGCCGAGCUCACGCCCCGCAGCCCCGCGCCCUGUCCCAGCAUGGCUCAGGCACCCACCCAUGUUCCAGAGCUGCCGAGUGCCCUUGGAGCCCACGGGUGAGGUGCUGCAGGUGGCCCUCAGCAGUGCCAUUACGCUUGGGGUCGGGGAAAGAGGGAUCAUGAUAUUAUUCUCUAAAAAAUGUUACAACAAAGUAAUUUAAUGGUUUUUAAAUGAUGGAAUACAAGUAAACGGGAAAUCCUCAAUGAUUUGUCUCCUAAGGUGGGCGUAUAAUUUUAAUCAGAAGCGUUUGCUGAUGCUAGGAUGU